RNAcentral lists this ribosomal RNA (423 nucleotides) under uncultured bacterium. Its description in RNAcentral is "bacterial SSU rRNA". It matches the Rfam family "Bacterial small subunit ribosomal RNA", at positions 466 to 889 of the family's 1533-position model. The record is from RNAcentral.
CAGCUGACGGUACCUGACGAAUAAGCCGCGGCAAACCCCGUGCCAGCAGCCGCGGUAAUACGGGGGUGGCAAGCGUUACUCGGAAUUAUUGGGUGUAAAGGGCAGGUAGGUGGCUCUGUAAGUGAGGGGUGAAAUCCUGCGGUUUAAUCGCAGAACAGCCUUUCAAACUGCAGAGCUUGAGUGUGACAGAGGAAGAUGGAAUUCCUGGUGUAAGGGUGAAAUCUGUAGAUAUCAGGAAGAACACCAACGGCGAAGGCAAUCUUCUGGGUCACUACUGACACUGAGCUGCGAAAGCUAGGGGAGCAAACAGAAUUAGAUACUCUGGUAGUCCUAGCCGUAAACGAUGAAUACUAGGUGUUGGUCCUUUCGGGGAUCAGCGCCGAAGCUAACGCAUUAAGUAUUCCACCUGGGGACUACGGUCGC